This 252-nucleotide ribosomal RNA is filed under the name uncultured bacterium. RNAcentral's name for it is "partial 16S ribosomal RNA". It matches the Rfam family "Bacterial small subunit ribosomal RNA", at positions 524 to 776 of the family's 1533-position model. The record is from RNAcentral.
UACGGAGGAUGCGAGCGUUAUCCGGAUUUAUUGGGUUUAAAGGGUGCGUAGGCGGGUUAUCAAGUCAGCGGUAAAAUCGUGGAGCUCAACUCCAUCCAGCCGUUGAAACUGAUGAUCUUGAGUGGGCGAGAAGUAUGCGGAAUGCGUGGUGUAGCGGUGAAAUGCAUAGAUAUCACGCAGAACUCCGAUUGCGAAAGCAGCAUACCGGCGCCCGACUGACGCUGAAGCACGAAAGCGUGGGUAUCGAACAGG